GCGCCGGUAACACAGUGGUAGAGCUCCUUAUGUGGUGAGCGAAAGCACCUUACAAUAACUAUACGGAGGUCGAAGGUUCGAAUCCUGCCCGUGGCU
This is a non-coding RNA of Meloidogyne enterolobii, 96 nucleotides long. Lineage: Eukaryota; Metazoa; Nematoda; Chromadorea; Rhabditida; Meloidogynidae. The record is from the annotation of a GenBank genome assembly.